This 450-nucleotide ribosomal RNA is filed under the name uncultured bacterium. RNAcentral's name for it is "partial 16S ribosomal RNA". It matches the Rfam family "Bacterial small subunit ribosomal RNA", at positions 354 to 796 of the family's 1533-position model. The record is from RNAcentral.
GUGGGGAAUUUUGGACAAUGGGCGCAAGCCUGAUCCAGCAAUGCCGCGUGCAGGAAGAAGGCCUUCGGGUUGUAAACUGCUUUUGUACGGAACGAAACGGUCCUGGUUAAUACCUGGGGCUAAUGACGGUACCGUAAGAAUAAGCACCGGCUAACUACGUGCCAGCAGCCGCGGUAAUACGUAGGGUGCGAGCGUUACUCGGAAUUACUGGGCGUAAAGCGUGCGCAGGCGGUGCUGUAAGACAGGCGUGGAAUCCGCGGGCUCAACCUGUGAAUUGCGCUUGUGACUGCAGUGCUGGAGUACGGCAGAGGGGGAUGGAAUUCCGCGUGUAGCAGUGAAAUGCGUAGAUAUGCGGAGGAACACCGAUGGCGAAGGCAGUCCCCUGGGCCUGUACUGACGCUCAUGCACGAAAGCGUGGGGAGCAAACAGGAUUAGAAACCCCGGUAGUCC